CCUACGGGGGUCAGCAGUGGGGAAUAUUGCGCCAUGGGCGAAAGCCUGACGCAGCGACGCCGCGUGAGGGAUGAAGGUCUUCGGAUCGUAAACCUCUGUCAGCAGGGAAGAACGGUCACUGUGCUAAUCAGCAGUGAAUUGACGGUACCUGCAAAGGAAGCACCGGCUAACUCCGUGCCAGCAGCCGCGGUAAUACGGAGGGUGCGAGCGUUAAUUGGAAUUACUGGGCGUAAAGCGCUCGUAUGCGGUAUGUCAAGUCAAGGGUGAAAUCCCCGCGCUCAACGUGGGAACUGCCUUUGAAACUGGCAAACUGGAGUGUGUGAGAGGAUAGUGGAAUUCCAGGUGUAUGAGUGAAAGCCGUAGAUAUCUGGAGGAACAUCAGUGGCGAAGGCGACUAUCUGGCACAUAACUGACGCUGAGGAGCGAAAGCGUGGGUAGCAAACAGGAUUAGAUACCCGAGUAGUC
RNAcentral lists this ribosomal RNA (465 nucleotides) under uncultured bacterium. Its description in RNAcentral is "partial 16S ribosomal RNA". It matches the Rfam family "Bacterial small subunit ribosomal RNA", at positions 338 to 795 of the family's 1533-position model. The record is from RNAcentral.